UCCCUGGUGGCCCAAAGUUUAGGACUCUGAACUUUAACUGCUGAGGGCCUGGGUUCAAUCCCUGGUCAGGGAA
RNAcentral lists this transfer RNA (73 nucleotides) under Capra hircus (goat). It matches the Rfam family "tRNA". From Rfam's summary of the family: Transfer RNA (tRNA) molecules are approximately 80 nucleotides in length. Their secondary structure includes four short double-helical elements and three loops (D, anti-codon, and T loops). Lineage: Eukaryota; Metazoa; Chordata; Mammalia; Artiodactyla; Bovidae. RNAcentral also lists the same sequence under 1 other name. The record is from Rfam by way of RNAcentral.